CUACGUGCCAGCAGCCGCGGUAAUACGGAGGGUGCAAGCGUUAAUCGGAAUUACUGGGCGUAAAGCGCACGCAGGCGGUCUGUCAAGUCGGAUGUGAAAUCCCCGGGCUUAACCUGGGAACUGCAUUCGAAACUGGCAGGCUAGAGUCUUGUAGAGGGGGGUAGAAUUCCAGGUGUAGCGGUGAAAUGCGUAGAGAUCUGGAGGAAUACCGGUGGCGAAGGCGGCCCCCUGGACAAAGACUGACGCUCAGGUGCGAAAGCGUGGGGAGCAAACGGGAUUAGAUACCCUGGUAGUCCACGCCGUAAACGAUGUCGAUUUGGAGGUUGUGCCCUUGAGGCGUGGCUUCCGGAGCUAACGCGUUAAAUCGACCGCCUGGGGAGUACGGCCGCAAGGUUAAAACUCAAAUGAAUUGACGGGGGCCCGCACAAGCGGUGGAGCAUGUGGUUUAAUUCGAUGCAACGCGAAGAACCUUACC
This 475-nucleotide ribosomal RNA is filed under the name uncultured bacterium. RNAcentral's name for it is "bacterial SSU rRNA". It matches the Rfam family "Bacterial small subunit ribosomal RNA", at positions 501 to 975 of the family's 1533-position model. The record is from RNAcentral.